RNAcentral lists this ribosomal RNA (411 nucleotides) under Triticum aestivum (bread wheat). RNAcentral's name for it is "partial small subunit ribosomal RNA". The record is from RNAcentral. Lineage: Eukaryota; Viridiplantae; Streptophyta; Magnoliopsida; Poales; Poaceae.
AUGGUCCUACGUGAUCAUCAAGGACACAUUAUCUUUGCUGCAUACCGGGUCCUGUUCCAUUGCAACGACGUUCUUGAAGCUGAAAUUCAUGCGCUGAUGCAAGGCAUGGCCUUGGCAAUCCAACACACUGAGCUUUCGGUCAUCAUCCAGUCUGAUUCUUCGGAAGCCUUAGCGAGCUUAUCAACAAAUGCUUUAACUCGCUCAGCUUAUGGUCAUUUGGUUCUUGAGAUUAAGGAGUUGAUGAGUAGUAGGGAGUUUAUACCGCAGAAAAUUUAUCGCACUCAAAAUAGAGUUGCCGAUCGGUUGGCCAAUUAUAGCCGUUCCAAGCGAACUACAGCUGUGUGGUUGCGUUCGGUUCCACCUUGUAUUGAGGGUUUGUGGCCUCUCGACUGUAACACUAUGACAUCUUAA